AAAAGAAGAAGAAGAAGAAGAAGAAGAAGAAGAAGAAGAAGUUCUUCUUCUUCUUCUUCUUCUUCUUCUUCUUCUUCUUCUUCUUCUUUU
Molecule: microRNA precursor, 90 nt
Filed under: Marmota monax (woodchuck)
Lineage: Eukaryota; Metazoa; Chordata; Mammalia; Rodentia; Sciuridae
Source: RNAcentral